This 472-nucleotide ribosomal RNA is filed under the name uncultured bacterium. RNAcentral's name for it is "bacterial SSU rRNA". It matches the Rfam family "Bacterial small subunit ribosomal RNA", at positions 355 to 825 of the family's 1533-position model. The record is from RNAcentral.
UGGGGAAUUUUGGACAAUGGGCGCAAGCCUGAUCCAGCCAUGCCGCGUGCGGGAAGAAGGCCUUCGGGUUGUAAACCGCUUUUGUCAGGGAAGAAACGCUCUGGGCUAAUACCCUGGGGUAAUGACGGUACCUGAAGAAUAAGCACCGGCUAACUACGUGCCAGCAGCCGCGGUAAUACGUAGGGUGCAAGCGUUAAUCGGAAUUACUGGGCGUAAAGCGUGCGCAGGCGGUUAUGCAAGUCAGGCGUGAAAUCCCCGGGCUUAACCUGGGAAUGGCGCUUGAAACUACGUGACUAGAGUAUGGCAGAGGGAGGUGGAAUUCCACGUGUAGCGGUGAAAUGCGUAGAGAUGUGGAGGAACACCGAUGGCGAAGGCAGCCUCCUGGGCCAAUACUGACGCUCAUGCACGAAAGCGUGGGGAGCAAACAGGAUUAGAUACCCUCGUAGUCCCUGAGCGGGCUGGCAAGGCGCAU